This 2928-nucleotide ribosomal RNA is filed under the name Escherichia coli O43 str. RM10042. Its description in RNAcentral is "bacterial LSU rRNA". It matches the Rfam family "Bacterial large subunit ribosomal RNA". Lineage: Bacteria; Pseudomonadati; Pseudomonadota; Gammaproteobacteria; Enterobacterales; Enterobacteriaceae. The record is from RNAcentral.
GGGUUGUGAGGUUAAGCGACUAAGCGUACACGGUGGAUGCCCUGGCAGUCAGAGGCGAUGAAGGACGUGCUAAUCUGCGAUAAGCGUCGGUAAGGUGAUAUGAACCGUUAUAACCGGCGAUUUCCGAAUGGGGAAACCCAGUGUGUUUCGACACACUAUCAUUAACUGAAUCCAUAGGUUAAUGAGGCGAACCGGGGGAACUGAAACAUCUAAGUACCCCGAGGAAAAGAAAUCAACCGAGAUUCCCCCAGUAGCGGCGAGCGAACGGGGAGCAGCCCAGAGCCUGAAUCAGUGUGUGUGUUAGUGGAAGCGUCUGGAAAGGCGCGCGAUACAGGGUGACAGCCCCGUACACAAAAAUGCACAUGCUGUGAGCUCGAUGAGUAGGGCGGGACACGUGGUAUCCUGUCUGAAUAUGGGGGACCAUCCUCCAAGGCUAAAUACUCCUGACUGACCGAUAGUGAACCAGUACCGUGAGGGAAAGGCGAAAAGAACCCCGGCGAGGGGAGUGAAAAAGAACCUGAAACCGUGUACGUACAAGCAGUGGGAGCACGCUUAGGCGUGUGACUGCGUACCUUUUGUAUAAUGGGUCAGCGACUUAUAUUCUGUAGCAAGGUUAACCGAAUAGGGGAGCCGAAGGGAAACCGAGUCUUAACUGGGCGUUAAGUUGCAGGGUAUAGACCCGAAACCCGGUGAUCUAGCCAUGGGCAGGUUGAAGGUUGGGUAACACUAACUGGAGGACCGAACCGACUAAUGUUGAAAAAUUAGCGGAUGACUUGUGGCUGGGGGUGAAAGGCCAAUCAAACCGGGAGAUAGCUGGUUCUCCCCGAAAGCUAUUUAGGUAGCGCCUCGUGAAUUCAUCUCCGGGGGUAGAGCACUGUUUCGGCAAGGGGGUCAUCCCGACUUACCAACCCGAUGCAAACUGCGAAUACCGGAGAAUGUUAUCACGGGAGACACACGGCGGGUGCUAACGUCCGUCGUGAAGAGGGAAACAACCCAGACCGCCAGCUAAGGUCCCAAAGUCAUGGUUAAGUGGGAAACGAUGUGGGAAGGCCCAGACAGCCAGGAUGUUGGCUUAGAAGCAGCCAUCAUUUAAAGAAAGCGUAAUAGCUCACUGGUCGAGUCGGCCUGCGCGGAAGAUGUAACGGGGCUAAACCAUGCACCGAAGCUGCGGCAGCGACACUAUGUGUUGUUGGGUAGGGGAGCGUUCUGUAAGCCUGUGAAGGUGUACUGUGAGGUAUGCUGGAGGUAUCAGAAGUGCGAAUGCUGACAUAAGUAACGAUAAAGCGGGUGAAAAGCCCGCUCGCCGGAAGACCAAGGGUUCCUGUCCAACGUUAAUCGGGGCAGGGUGAGUCGACCCCUAAGGCGAGGCCGAAAGGCGUAGUCGAUGGGAAACAGGUUAAUAUUCCUGUACUUGGUGUUACUGCGAAGGGGGGACGGAGAAGGCUAUGUUGGCCGGGCGACGGUUGUCCCGGUUUAAGCGUGUAGGCUGGUUUUCCAGGCAAAUCCGGAAAAUCAAGGCUGAGGCGUGAUGACGAGGCACUACGGUGCUGAAGCAACAAAUGCCCUGCUUCCAGGAAAAGCCUCUAAGCAUCAGGUAACAUCAAAUCGUACCCCAAACCGACACAGGUGGUCAGGUAGAGAAUACCAAGGCGCUUGAGAGAACUCGGGUGAAGGAACUAGGCAAAAUGGUGCCGUAACUUCGGGAGAAGGCACGCUGAUAUGUAGGUGAAGUCCCUCGCGGAUGGAGCUGAAAUCAGUCGAAGAUACCAGCUGGCUGCAACUGUUUAUUAAAAACACAGCACUGUGCAAACACGAAAGUGGACGUAUACGGUGUGACGCCUGCCCGGUGCCGGAAGGUUAAUUGAUGGGGUUAGCGCAAGCGAAGCUCUUGAUCGAAGCCCCGGUAAACGGCGGCCGUAACUAUAACGGUCCUAAGGUAGCGAAAUUCCUUGUCGGGUAAGUUCCGACCUGCACGAAUGGCGUAAUGAUGGCCAGGCUGUCUCCACCCGAGACUCAGUGAAAUUGAACUCGCUGUGAAGAUGCAGUGUACCCGCGGCAAGACGGAAAGACCCCGUGAACCUUUACUAUAGCUUGACACUGAACAUUGAGCCUUGAUGUGUAGGAUAGGUGGGAGGCUUUGAAGUGUGGACGCCAGUCUGCAUGGAGCCGACCUUGAAAUACCACCCUUUAAUGUUUGAUGUUCUAACGUUGACCCGUAAUCCGGGUUGCGGACAGUGUCUGGUGGGUAGUUUGACUGGGGCGGUCUCCUCCUAAAGAGUAACGGAGGAGCACGAAGGUUGGCUAAUCCUGGUCGGACAUCAGGAGGUUAGUGCAAUGGCAUAAGCCAGCUUGACUGCGAGCGUGACGGCGCGAGCAGGUGCGAAAGCAGGUCAUAGUGAUCCGGUGGUUCUGAAUGGAAGGGCCAUCGCUCAACGGAUAAAAGGUACUCCGGGGAUAACAGGCUGAUACCGCCCAAGAGUUCAUAUCGACGGCGGUGUUUGGCACCUCGAUGUCGGCUCAUCACAUCCUGGGGCUGAAGUAGGUCCCAAGGGUAUGGCUGUUCGCCAUUUAAAGUGGUACGCGAGCUGGGUUUAGAACGUCGUGAGACAGUUCGGUCCCUAUCUGCCGUGGGCGCUGGAGAACUGAGGGGGGCUGCUCCUAGUACGAGAGGACCGGAGUGGACGCAUCACUGGUGUUCGGGUUGUCAUGCCAAUGGCACUGCCCGGUAGCUAAAUGCGGAAGAGAUAAGUGCUGAAAGCAUCUAAGCACGAAACUUGCCCCGAGAUGAGUUCUCCCUGACUCCUUGAGAGUCCUGAAGGAACGUUGAAGACGACGACGUUGAUAGGCCGGGUGUGUAAGCGCAGCGAUGCGUUGAGCUAACCGGUACUAAUGAACCGUGAGGCUUAACCUUACAACGCCGAAGCUGUU